GCCUCUAUGGCGCAGUGGCAACGCGUCGCACUUGUAUGUCGAGCAAUGCGAAGAUCGAGAGUUCAAUUCUCUCUGGAGGCA
This is a non-coding RNA of Trichodelitschia bisporula, 81 nucleotides long. The record is from the annotation of a GenBank genome assembly. Lineage: Eukaryota; Fungi; Ascomycota; Dothideomycetes; Phaeotrichales; Phaeotrichaceae.